RNAcentral lists this transfer RNA (76 nucleotides) under bacterium. RNAcentral describes it as "tRNA-Val". It matches the Rfam family "tRNA". From Rfam's summary of the family: Transfer RNA (tRNA) molecules are approximately 80 nucleotides in length. Their secondary structure includes four short double-helical elements and three loops (D, anti-codon, and T loops). Further hydrogen bonds mediate the characteristic L-shaped molecular structure. tRNAs have two regions of fundamental functional importance: the anti-codon, which is responsible for specific mRNA codon recognition, and the 3' end, to which the tRNAs corresponding amino acid is attached (by aminoacyl-tRNA synthetases). tRNAs cope with the degeneracy of the genetic code in two manners: having more than one tRNA (with a specific anti-codon) for a particular amino acid; and 'wobble' base-pairing, i.e. permitting non-standard base-pairing at the 3rd anti-codon position. The record is from RNAcentral. RNAcentral also lists the same sequence under 1 other name.
GGGCGGUUAGCUCAGCUGGGAGAGCACCUGCCUUACAAGCAGGGGGUCACAAGUUCAAGUCUUGUACCGCCCACCA